GCGAGCGCGCGGGCUGCCUGCGGAGCGCCUGGAGGGGAUUGGAGGCUACAGGCGGCACUGCUCUCUCCCGUGAAGAGGUGCGCACACGCGAAGUGCUCCUGGUGCUGCGGGUGCUACUGUGUGUGGCAGAGGGCAGAGGAAGGAGGCGGCUGCGCCAGGGGAGAGGCCAAGUACUGGCUGGUUUGCUGCUUGUGCGGCUGGCUUGCUGCUGCUGGAGAAAGACUGAGAACAGUCUGCAGUUGUUGCUGCUUGCAAGUGCUGCUGCUGACUCUGUUGCUGCUGGUGGUGUACUACAGUGGAGUUAGCAGAGAAGAGGAUGUAAGAGCUCCUGGAUUGAUUUGGUGCUGCUGUGUGAGGGGCUGCUAGAUAGCGUACUGAGGAAGAAGGAAAGUUCUUGCCUGCUGUGAUUGAGGCAAGACAUGGGAGAAAAUCAGGGACUCGAGAAGGCAAUUGAAAAAUUGGCUGAGCUCCUAACAGCCAAGGUAGGAGCUGCAGCAUCUCUAAAUAAUGCAAUUGUUCCUCACAUUGAGCCAAUUCAGAAAAUUGACUUGAUGCCAAAUGAAAUUAAGCUGGAAGGUGUUAAGAAUUAUUUGAGCUGGUCAAGAAGGGCGCUACUCAUCUUGAGGACUAAAGGGCUUGAGGGCUUUGUCAGUGGUGAGGCAGAGGAGCCAGGAGACAAGAAAACUUCAGAAUGGAGGACAUGGAGCAGUACCAACUCUUUGAUAGUGGCAUGGUUGUUGAACUCCUUGUCUCCAACCAUUGCUGCAACUGUUGAGACUAUCUCAACUGCUACUGAGGUAUGGAAAACCCUCUCAAAACUAUACUCAGGUGAAGGGAAUGUGAUGUUAAUAGCUGAAACAGAGGAGAGAGUUGGUGAACUCAGACAAGGGGAAAAUUCUGUGAUGGAGUAUGUUGCUGAACUGCAGCGUUUGUGGGCUGAUUUAGAUCACUAUGAUCCUCUGGAUUUGCCACAUGCAGAUUGCAUAGCAGCUGCUAGAAAAUGGAUUGAAUGCAGACGAGUGAUGCAGUUUCUCAAAGGAUUGAACUCUGACUUUGUGGCGAGACGUGCUACUUUAUUUCAUCAACCUACUCUACCUGCCUUAGAGGAUGCCAUAGCAGCAAUGGCAUAGGAGGAGGUCCGAUUAAAGUUGAUGAAGAAUAAUACAACGACUCCAUCUCAUCCAGCCUUCAUAGCAACCGACUAUAAGAGCAGAGAGUGCUUCAACUGCGGUGAGAAGGGUCAUUUGAUUCGUUCUUGCACGGCUCCACGUAGGAACAUGCGUGGAAGGGGGAGAGGAUAUAACCGAGGUGGAUUAAGGGGAGGCCGAGGCCGGGGAUACUCUGGUGGUCAAAGGGCAAAUCUGGCAGUCUCAGAAGAAGGAUCCUCACUCGCAACCCAAGAAGAAUCAAAGAAAAGAACAGAAAGCACAGGUGAUAAGGAUCAUGAGGAUUGUAGUUACGGCAACUUUGCUCACUUUGUAUCUACAGAUAAAGGAGAGGCAAACGGGGAAGAGGCUUGGGACUGGAACCAGGUGUAAUGGGCUAUGGUACAUGGAUCGCAAGGUGCCAAAUAAUGCGGUGUCUACGAUGUUAGCAACAAUGAUGGGAGAAAAGGAAACAAAGGUAAUGCUUCACCAUUGUAGAAUGGGACAUAUGUCUUUUGAGAAGAUGAGUAAAGUCUUUCCCGAUGUAAUGUGUGGGGUGGAUAAGAACAAGCUUGUGUGUGAUGCAUGUGAGUUUGCUAAACACACAAGGACAUCUUAUGUGAGUAAGGGUCUUAGGAGUAUUUCCCCUUUUAUGCUUGUUCACUCAGAUGUGUGGACAUGUCCUGUUAUCUCUCUAAGUGGAAUGAAGUACUUUGUUACAUUCAUUGAUUGCUA
Molecule: long non-coding RNA, 1880 nt
Organism: Triticum dicoccoides
Lineage: Eukaryota; Viridiplantae; Streptophyta; Magnoliopsida; Poales; Poaceae
Exons: 2
Source: RefSeq, a predicted model, not a curated record